This is a small nucleolar RNA of Lathyrus oleraceus (garden pea), 107 nucleotides long. The record is from RefSeq and is a predicted model, not a curated record. Lineage: Eukaryota; Viridiplantae; Streptophyta; Magnoliopsida; Fabales; Fabaceae.
AUUUCAUGAUGUGGACAUUGGCUCAACAGUUCUUUAAAUAUCUCUCAAACAUCAAACAAAGAUUCAUCGUCCCCUUAUCUAAAUGAGGUGGUCUAAUUUCUCAUAUU